Molecule: ribosomal RNA, 253 nt
Filed under: uncultured bacterium
Lineage: Bacteria
Description: partial 16S ribosomal RNA
Rfam family: Bacterial small subunit ribosomal RNA
Source: RNAcentral
UACGUAGGGUGCGAGUGUUACUCGGAAUUACUGGGCGUAAAGCGUGCGCAGGCGGUUUUGUAAGCCAGAUGUGAAAUCCCCGGGCUUAACCUGGGAAUGGCAUUUGGGACUGCAAGGCUCGAGUGCGGCAGAGGAGACUGGAAUUCCUGGUGUAGCAGUGAAAUGCGUAGAUAUCAGGAGGAACACCGAUGGCGAAGGCAGGUCUCUGGGCUGACACUGACGCUCAUGCACGAAAGCGUGGGGAGCAAACAGG